Non-coding RNA from Heliconius melpomene (postman butterfly), 74 nucleotides. Lineage: Eukaryota; Metazoa; Arthropoda; Insecta; Lepidoptera; Nymphalidae. The record is from Rfam.
CACUGAUGGGCCUGAACUGUUGCUCUUACCUGUUCUUUUAUACUAGGUGAGCAAACUUUCAGGUGUGUUAGUGC